This is a long non-coding RNA of Tympanuchus pallidicinctus (lesser prairie-chicken), 2781 nucleotides long. RefSeq lists it as uncharacterized. The transcript has 2 exons. The record is from RefSeq and is a predicted model, not a curated record. NCBI's taxonomy places the organism in Eukaryota, Metazoa, Chordata, Aves, Galliformes, Phasianidae.
CAAUUGUUUCUUUUUCCAGAAUUUGCUGUUUGGGCAAGAGGCACCUCUACUUCUGCUUCCCUCUUGAGGCUGGUUUGGUGACUAUGGGCACAGAGAGUUCCGUGACGUGCAUUGGAUAGCUUGGCGGGGGAUGCGAUGGCAACUUAAUAUUGAGGCGCCUGAUAUGACAGCUGUGACAGAGCAAGUGGCCCUCUAAUGGGUAACAACGAUGGCCUUCCUCAUCAUUGAGCUGCAAGCCACAAUCCUAGAAGAAAAAUAUACAUUCCAGUUUUAUGAGAGACUCAGGUAGGUCAUCUUAUAUCAACACUGAUUAACCCUGCAAGCUCGCUCUCACGCCACAAAAGACAGCAACAUCAAGAGUUUAUGGUAGACGGGUCCUGUCUAUCCUGCAUUAAACAAAAUGACAUCACUAAAAUCUACUAGGACUAGCUAUAGUAAUUCUAGCCAAAUUCUAGCCCAAUUCUUUUUCCUCUUUCCAUCUUUUCAAUGUCGAUGCAAAUCAAACAAAAACUCUCUAAAACCUAUUCCUUUUUCUGUAAUAAGAAAGUCCAUUUCUUCAGUGGAUUUCAGUUUCAGAUUGAGAAUCUGUUGAGGUUUUGCUGCAGCUGUUAAGCUGUCACACCAGGAAAAGACGACACAGGAAAGUAGAAAAGUUUCCAAGCUUGACUACUGACUUUGCAUGAUGAACAAAUGGUGGAUGACAACUUAAAUGACAUUUCAUACAAACUGGACAUUUGCAAAGUGUCUGUGUGCAUACCUCAGAAUACUGGUACUGACUGAACUAGCAUAGCUGGAGACAGCAGUGACCCAGUGUGUACAGUUUGAGAGCCUAAUUUGAAGCUAUUAAGCAGUAACCUACCCCUGCCAACACAUGGCUAACCUCUGAUUACUGUACAUAAAUGUUCUCUGCCAUUCUCAGCAGAUGUGGAAGCAGCUUAAUUUGCCUCAAACUGAAAAGAGAAUGGGUAAAUGAAUAAUGAAACAGAACAGAAAACAAACCCCCAUUGGGACAUUCUAAUAUAAUGUCAAUAGGCUGAGAAAGAAGGGGAGGGAGCUGUCAUCUAAAGUGAAGCCUGCACAAAGCAAUAGUUGAGGGAAGAAGGGAGGGAAGUACAGCUCUCCACAUGCUGAAAUGUCCUAUGCCAAUUUAUCUUGAGUAUCAGCUACCUCUGUUGGAAGGAGCUGGCUAGGCUCAUAGGCUCAGGUGUAGGUCCUGAAACAUACAUUUCAGAAUGCCCCAAAUUUUGCUAUCCUUCUCCCUCAAUUGGAAACCUCUCCAUAAAACCAUUUUUGAGCUGGAUUGCACGAAAGGUUGAUCUCAAAUUAAAGAGUUUGUCUCCUUCCUUGUAUUCCUGGGCUGCACAGAUAACACUCAACUGAGCUCUCCUCCCUGUGAAGCAAAAGCACCAGUCCCAGAUCUUGAUCUGCUCCAAUAAAUGUUUAAAUAUUCUGCACAAAAAUACUGUCAUCGAUACUGUUCUCUCUUAUGUAGUAAACAAGUGUUCAUCCAGCAUGGAAAUACACAAAUCCCCUGGAAGAGCUUUCCAGCACAGGAUGAAGGUCUUUCUCUGCAUAAGCAAAUUCAAACCUCCUCAUACCACAGCCACACAAACUGUAUCCAAAAAGAUCAGGAAAAAGAGACCCAGGGCUUCCUCUAUGUUCUCUCCCCAUCUACAAGUACAGAGAAAAUUCCACCACAAUGAAACUCAGCCUUUUAAAUUAAUAUACUGGAAAAAAAAAAAAGGAACCUUAUUUGGUACUACUGGAAAUAGCAGCUAGCACUCAUUCCUCCAACUCCUUUCAGAAGCCACAGUGCAAAGCCCUACCUGCCCAGGCAUGCAGGAGUCAGCAUACGCACCCUGGGUUGCAAGUCAUGCAUCUACUGAGAGGAGAAUGUUUGGUAUAAGCAGUCCUUGUCCAGUGCCUCAGCCCAGCUCCUCUGUGACACUCACCUCACAGUGAUAACAUUCCACAUGGUAAUCUUUGUCCAUUGACACUACUCUGAUGGUUUCUUCAGAUCCCUGUUGGAAAAGCACAGAAAAGGUAAGAGUGGGCUUUUAAGUGGUGUUUUCUCAAUCUUCUUUCAGUAUGUUGCCCAACAUACAGCUAUGGAAAGGUGCUUCUGUGUGAGAUAUCCCUUCUCCUUUCGUAGAACAGAUCUCUGUAACUGCUGAGGGUCUUCCCCUCCAUGCACUGCACUGCAGUACCAGUUUUCCUGUUAAGCAGUCCUGUGGAUGUCUAAAAUAGGCUGUAAAGGUAAUUUGGGAAGCAUAGCUAAAAUUUCAUGUUCAAAAGAGAGUUUUUCUCUUGAAAUAAAACAAUUUUCCAAGGGCACCCAGAAGUUGAACAAACUAUAAGCCAAACACUAUGAGAUAAUGACUAGGUGACUAUUCCUAGCAGACUCAUUCCCCUCAAACUAGCUGGUGCACAGCUACUCUGCGUGUGCACAUGGCAGUGUAUGUGCCCUACGGUCCUUUACAUAGCUGUCUAGCAUGUAAUUAUGCACACAGGCCAAAGCCCCAGUGCGAUGAUGGAUGCAGUGGAGCUGUGUAAUACCUGGCAGAGCCCCAGGCUCUGCCAAGCUGCCCAUACCCUUCCUGUAACCUCACAGGUUACAGGAACCUUUCCCUGAGCCACUUCCAUGCCUCUGAAGACGGAGCUCAUUAAAUUUGCUGACCCACACUGUUUCCAGUUCCAGGCGUGGUUAGAGCAUCAGAUAUGACGUAGACUAUGUCUGAGAGAAGCCACGGGCAGGUUAGCACCUGCACUGCUGGAUUUGAA